GGGUGAGUAAAGCCUAGGAAUCUGCCUGGUAGUGGGGGAUAACGUUCGGAAACGGACGCUAAUACCGCAUACGUCCUACGGGAGAAAGCAGGGGACCUUCGGGCCUUGCGCUAUCAGAUGAGCCUAGGUCGGAUUAGCUAGUUGGUGAGGUAAUGGCUCACCAAGGCGACGAUCCGUAACUGGUCUGAGAGGAUGAUCAGUCACACUGGAACUGAGACACGGUCCAGACUCCUACGGGAGGCAGCAGUGGGGAAUAUUGGACAAUGGGCGAAAGCCUGAUCCAGCCAUGCCGCGUGUGUGAAGAAGGUCUUCGGAUUGUAAAGCACUUUAAGUUGGGAGGAAGGGCAUUAACCUAAUACGUUAGUGUUUUGACGUUACCGACAGAAUAAGCACCGGCUAACUCUGUGCCAGCAGCCGCGGUAAUACAGAGGGUGCAAGCGUUAAUCGGAAUUACUGGGCGUAAAGCGCGCGUAGGUGGUUUGUUAAGUUGGAUGUGAAAUCCCCGGGCUCAACCUGGGAACUGCAUUCAAAACUGACUGACUAGAGUAUGGUAGAGGGUGGUGGAAUUUCCUGUGUAGCGGUGAAAUGCGUAGAUAUAGGAAGGAACACCAGUGGCGAAGGCGACCACCUGGACUAAUACUGACACUGAGGUGCGAAAGCGUGGGGAGCAAACAGGAUUAGAUACCCUGGUAGUCCACGCCGUAAACGAUGUCAACUAGCCGUUGGGAGCCUUGAGCUCUUAGUGGCGCAGCUAACGCAUUAAGUUGACCGCCUGGGGAGUACGGCCGCAAGGUUAAAACUCAAAUG
This 807-nucleotide ribosomal RNA is filed under the name Pseudomonas fluorescens. RNAcentral's name for it is "bacterial SSU rRNA". It matches the Rfam family "Bacterial small subunit ribosomal RNA", at positions 104 to 907 of the family's 1533-position model. Lineage: Bacteria; Pseudomonadati; Pseudomonadota; Gammaproteobacteria; Pseudomonadales; Pseudomonadaceae. The record is from RNAcentral.